RNAcentral lists this ribosomal RNA (464 nucleotides) under Vreelandella stevensii. RNAcentral describes it as "partial 16S ribosomal RNA". It matches the Rfam family "Bacterial small subunit ribosomal RNA", at positions 338 to 795 of the family's 1533-position model. Lineage: Bacteria; Pseudomonadati; Pseudomonadota; Gammaproteobacteria; Oceanospirillales; Halomonadaceae. The record is from RNAcentral.
CCUACGGGCGGCUGCAGUGGGGAAUAUUGGACAAUGGGGGGAACCCUGAUCCAGCCAUGCCGCGUGUGUGAAGAAGGCCCUCGGGUUGUAAAGCACUUUCAGUGAGGAAGAACGCCUGGUGGUUAAUACCCAUCAGGAAAGACAUCACUCACAGAAGAAGCACCGGCUAACUCCGUGCCAGCAGCCGCGGUAAUACGGAGGGUGCGAGCGUUAAUCGGAAUUACUGGGCGUAAAGCGCGCGUAGGUGGCUUGAUAAGCCGGUUGUGAAAGCCCCGGGCUCAACCUGGGAACGGCAUCCGGAACUGUCAAGCUAGAGUGCAGGAGAGGAAGGUAGAAUUCCCGGUGUAGCGGUGAAAUGCGUAGAGAUCGGGAGGAAUACCAGUGGCGAAGGCGGCCUUCUGGACUGACACUGACACUGAGGUGCGAAAGCGUGGGUAGCAAACAGGAUUGAUACCCUAGUAGUC